GCAGACACAUUCCAGCCAGUCAGCAGCAGACCCUCCCUCCCAGACCCUCCCACCUCCUGGACAGCAUCCAUUUUACAUUCAUUGUGAAGCUGCAUUCUUAGUGAGCUGUCCAGGAGGUGGGAGGGUCUGGGAGGGAGGGUCUGCUGCUGAUUGACUGGAAUGUGUCUG
RNAcentral lists this microRNA precursor (168 nucleotides) under Pelobates cultripes (western spadefoot toad). Lineage: Eukaryota; Metazoa; Chordata; Amphibia; Anura; Pelobatidae. The record is from RNAcentral.